RNAcentral lists this long non-coding RNA (263 nucleotides) under Zonotrichia albicollis (white-throated sparrow). Its description in RNAcentral is "lncRNA (ENSZALG00000000231.1)". Lineage: Eukaryota; Metazoa; Chordata; Aves; Passeriformes; Passerellidae. The record is from RNAcentral.
AGGGAGCACAGCAGCAUGCCAGAUCCUCCCUGGAUUUGAGCAUAUCAGCCUGCUAAGUGUCCAGCAAGGCAAAUCAGGGUGCUGCUAGGAACUGUCCCAUGUGAAGAAAUUAUAAGGAAAAGAAACCUGUAAGUGAAACCAUGCUGUAGGUGCACCAGCAAACCAUCCUGACAUGAAAGACAGAUAAGGUAGGCCAGCUUAUCUGCAUAAGGAAUCCUCCAGUGACUUGAAUAUCAAAAAGGAAAUCCUACAAAGAGUGAAAU